UGUUGAGGAAUGCAAUUGAAA
Molecule: non-coding RNA, 21 nt
Filed under: Caenorhabditis elegans
Lineage: Eukaryota; Metazoa; Nematoda; Chromadorea; Rhabditida; Rhabditidae
Source: RNAcentral